Molecule: long non-coding RNA, 381 nt
Organism: Athalia rosae (coleseed sawfly)
Lineage: Eukaryota; Metazoa; Arthropoda; Insecta; Hymenoptera; Athaliidae
Exons: 2
Source: RefSeq, a predicted model, not a curated record
CCUCCUUCUAUCCCGACGUCGUCUACCACGACUUUCGGACUCGCUACGUAGGCGAGUCACUGACCCGAUGAAAAUUAGGGAACGGUCAGGAGGCCUACCUGCGAUGUCCUCCGUAUACCUACACAUCUUCAGGCGUAAAAAAAGAAACAUGACCGCCGUCGAACGAUAUGUGCCGCAUGGGUCUAUGAAGAAUGAUCAGAAGUCCACAGACGUUCGGUACAAACAUAAAUAUAUUGAACGUUAGUAUAUUUAUUCGUGAGCAUCGAGUCCUCACCUUUGCCAACAUCGGUUGCUACACAACUCACGUGGUUACUCGUCGGUUAAUUUUAACAGCUUUGUAGAUUUUUACGGUGAAUAUAGGCGAAAAAUUCUUUGUUUGAA